Molecule: long non-coding RNA, 439 nt
Organism: Alnus glutinosa
Lineage: Eukaryota; Viridiplantae; Streptophyta; Magnoliopsida; Fagales; Betulaceae
Exons: 3
Source: RefSeq, a predicted model, not a curated record
AUACUUACACAAUUUAGUCUUCCUUUGUUCAUUACUUGGCUUAGGUGAAGAAACCCUUCUAUUUCUCUUUUGAUUUUCUGUCCAGCAACCUUAGGGGAGCUAGAUAUACUUCUUACCUUGCUAUUUCUUGGCCUAGAUUUAUAGAACCAAGAUCCAAAACCAAGACAGCACUAGCAACACCAAAACCGGUCACUAAGGGCUUAAAGGGGGGGCUUUUGUUUCAGAAUUUGUUUGAAAAAGAAGCUAAGAAACUAUACAAGGAGAGUUAAUAGACAAAGACAAGAGCUCAAGAGGUUUUAUAACUAAGGACGCAUAGUUUAUAUUUUGUUUGUAGUCUUCUGUGUUUAUAGCAUUUUAUGUUGACAAGAUUGCUAAUGAUUUAUAUGUAUUCUUUUGUGUCAUUAUGGACACCGGUUCCCUUGUAUUUGUUAUAAGUAUU